CCUACGGGGGGCAGCAGUGGGGAAUAUUGCACAAUGGGGGAAACCCUGAUGCAGCGACGCCGCGUGAGUGAAGAAGUAUCUCGGUACGUAAAGCUCUAUCAGCAGGGAAGAAAAUGACGGUACCUGACUAAGAAGCCCCGGCUAACUACGUGCCAGCAGCCGCGGUAAUACGUAGGGGGCAAGCGUUAUCCGGAUUUACUGGGUGUAAAGGGAGCGUAGGCGGCAGAACAAGUCUGAAGUGAAAUCCCGGGGCUUAACCCCGGAACUGCUUUUGAAACUGUGCGGCUGGAGUGCAGGAGGGGUAGGCGGAAUUCCUGGUGUAGCGGUGAAAUGCGUAGAUAUUAGGAGGAACACCGGUGGCGAAGGCGGCUUACUGGACUGUAACUGACGUUGAGGCUCGAAAGCGUGGGGAGCAAACAGGAUUAGAUACCCGUGUAGUC
RNAcentral lists this ribosomal RNA (440 nucleotides) under uncultured bacterium. RNAcentral's name for it is "partial 16S ribosomal RNA". It matches the Rfam family "Bacterial small subunit ribosomal RNA", at positions 338 to 795 of the family's 1533-position model. The record is from RNAcentral.